This 253-nucleotide ribosomal RNA is filed under the name uncultured bacterium. RNAcentral's name for it is "partial 16S ribosomal RNA". It matches the Rfam family "Bacterial small subunit ribosomal RNA", at positions 524 to 776 of the family's 1533-position model. The record is from RNAcentral.
GACGAACCGUGCGAACGUUGUUCGGAUUCACUGGGCUUAAAGGGCGCGUAGGCGGGCGGUCAAGUCAGGGGUGAAAUCUUUCGGCUCAACCGGAAAAGUGCCUUUGAUACUGGCCGUCUCGAGGGAGGUAGGGGCAUGCGGAACUUCCGGUGGAGCGGUGAAAUGCGUAGAUAUCGGAAGGAACGCCGGUGGCGAAAGCGCUCUGCUGGACUGCAACUGACACUGAGGGACGAAAGCUAGGGGAGCGAAAGGG